CGGGGUGAGUAACGCGUGGGCAACCUGCCUUAUACAGGGGGAUAACAGCUGGAAACAGCUGCUAAUACCGCAUAAGCGCACAGUGCUGCAUGGUACAGUGUGAAAAACUGAGGUGGUAUAAGAUGGGCCCGCGUCUGAUUAGCUGGUUGGGAGGGUAACGGCCUACCAAGGCGACGAUCAGUAGCCGGCCUGAGAGGGUGGACGGCCACAUUGGGACUGAGACACGGCCCAAACUCCUACGGAAGGCAGCAG
This 252-nucleotide ribosomal RNA is filed under the name uncultured bacterium. Its description in RNAcentral is "partial 16S ribosomal RNA". It matches the Rfam family "Bacterial small subunit ribosomal RNA", at positions 100 to 354 of the family's 1533-position model. The record is from RNAcentral.